RNAcentral lists this ribosomal RNA (880 nucleotides) under uncultured bacterium. RNAcentral describes it as "bacterial SSU rRNA". It matches the Rfam family "Bacterial small subunit ribosomal RNA", at positions 28 to 916 of the family's 1533-position model. The record is from RNAcentral.
GAUGAACGCUGGCGGCGUGCCUAACACAUGCAAGUCGAGCGGGGUUACGGGGAGUUUUCGGACAAACCGUAACCUAGCGGCGGACGGGUGAGUAACGCGUGGGUAACCUGCCUUUUACUGGGGGAUAACAGCCGGAAACGGCUGCUAAUACCGCAUGAUAUGCCGGGGCCGCAUGGCUCCAGCAGAAAAGAUUUAUCGGUAAGAGAUGGACCCGCGUCCGAUUAGCCAGUUGGUGAGGUAACGGCUCACCAAAGCGACGAUCGGUAGCCGGCCUGAGAGGGCGGACGGCCACAUUGGGACUGAGACACGGCCCAAACUCCUACGGGAGGCAGCAGUGGGGGAUAUUGCACAAUGGGGGAAACCCUGAUGCAGCAACGCCGCGUGAGCGAGGAAGUAUUUCGGUAUGUAAAGCUCUAUCAGCAGGGAAUAGAAAAGAAGGUACCUGACUAAGAAGCCCCGGCUAACUACGUGCCAGCAGCCGCGGUAAUACGUAGGGGGCAAGCGUUAUCCGGAUUUACUGGGUGUAAAGGGAGCGUAGACGGCACUGCAAGUCAGAAGUGAAAGCCCGGGGCUUAACCCCGCGGACUGCUUUUGAAACUGCAGGGCUGGAGUGCGGGAGAGGCAAGUGGAAUUCCUAGUGUAGCGGUGAAAUGCGUAGAUAUUAGGAGGAACACCAGUGGCGAAGGCGGCUUGCUGGACCGUAACUGACGUUGAGGCUCGAAAGCGUGGGGAGCAAACAGGAUUAGAUACCCUGGUAGUCCACGCGGUAAACGAUGAAUACUAGGUGUCGGGGGGCGAAGCCCUUCGGUGCCGCCGCUACGCAGUAAGUAUUCCACCUGGGGAGUACGUUCGCAAGAAUGAAACUCAAAUGAAUUGACGG